This 308-nucleotide ribosomal RNA is filed under the name uncultured bacterium. RNAcentral's name for it is "partial 16S ribosomal RNA". It matches the Rfam family "Bacterial small subunit ribosomal RNA", at positions 355 to 654 of the family's 1533-position model. The record is from RNAcentral.
UAGGGAAUCUUCGGCAAUGGGGGCAACCCUGACCGAGCAACGCCGCGUGAGUGAAGAAGGUUUUUCGGAUCGUAAAGCUCUGUUGUAAGUCAAGAACGGGUGUGAGAGUGGAAAGUUCACACUGUGACGGUAGCUUACCAGAAAGGGACGGCUAACUACGUGCCAGCAGCCGCGGUAAUACGUAGGUCCCGAGCGUUGUCCGGAUUUAUUGGGCGUAAAGCGAGCGCAGGCGGUUUGAUAAGUCUGAAGUUAAAGGCUGUGGCUCAACCAUAGUUCGCUUUGGAAACUGUCAAACUUGAGUGCAGAAG